ACCUUAAAUUUGUGGCAUGCUCGUUUAGAGCAUGCUAACUUUCAAUAUUUAUGUUGGCUUUUUCCCUCUUUCAGUAAAGCUUGUCAAAUAUUUAAUUUUAAAUGUGUAAUUUGUGAGUUAUCUAAACAUACUCGUACCUUUUGUAUUCCUCGUAUGCAUCGUGCACCAAGUGCCUUUGACCUUAUUCACUUGGAUGUAUGGGGUCCGUCUCCAGUUACCGCUCU
This 224-nucleotide long non-coding RNA is filed under the name Actinidia chinensis (golden kiwifruit). Its description in RNAcentral is "long non-coding RNA (ACHI_LNC005253)". The record is from RNAcentral. Lineage: Eukaryota; Viridiplantae; Streptophyta; Magnoliopsida; Ericales; Actinidiaceae.